RNAcentral lists this ribosomal RNA (461 nucleotides) under uncultured bacterium. RNAcentral describes it as "bacterial SSU rRNA". It matches the Rfam family "Bacterial small subunit ribosomal RNA", at positions 28 to 523 of the family's 1533-position model. The record is from RNAcentral.
GAUGAACGCUGGCGGCGUGCCUAACACAUGCAAGUCGAACGCUCGCAAGAGAGUGGCGCACGGGUGAGUAACACGUAGUUAAUCUGCCCUCAAGACAAGGAUAACUGUAGGAAACUACUGCUAAUACUUGAUAAGCUUACGGACUGUAGAGGUCUAUAAGAAAGAUUUAUCGCUUGAGGAUGAGGCUGCGCGCCAUCAGCUAGUUGGUAAGGUAAUGGCUUACCAAGGCGACGACGGCUAGGGGACCUGAGAGGGUGACCCCCCACACUGGGACUGAGACACGGCCCAGACUCCUACGGGAGGCAGCAGUGAGGAAUAUUGCUCAAUGGGCGCAAGCCUGAAGCAGCGACGCCGCGUGGAUGAAGAAGGUUUUCGGACUGUAAAAUCCUUUUCUGUGUGACGAGAGUGGACGGUAGCACAGGAAUAAGUCUCGGCUAACUACGUGCCAGCAGCCGCGGUAA